This 482-nucleotide ribosomal RNA is filed under the name uncultured bacterium. Its description in RNAcentral is "partial 16S ribosomal RNA". It matches the Rfam family "Bacterial small subunit ribosomal RNA", at positions 30 to 507 of the family's 1533-position model. The record is from RNAcentral.
AUUGAACGCUGGCGGCAUGCUUUACACAUGCAAGUCGAACGGUAACAGCACUUCGGUGGCUGACGAGUGGCGAACGGGUGAGUAAUACAUCGGUACGUGCCUAGUAGUGGGGGAUAACUACUCGAAAGAGUAGCUAAUACCGCAUGAGAUCUAAGGAUGAAAGCAGGGGACCUUCGGGCCUUGCGCUACUAGAGCGGCUGAUGGCAGAUUAGGUAGUUGGUGGGAUAAAAGCUUACCAAGCCGACGAUCGGUAGCUGGUCUGAGAGGACGACCAGCCACACUGGGACUGAGACACGGCCCAGACUCCUACGGGAGGCAGCAGUGGGGAAUUUUGGACAAUGGGCGCAAGCCUGAUCCAGCAAUGCCGCGUGCAGGAUGAAGGCCUUCGGGUUGUAAACUGCUUUUGUACGGAACGAAAAGCCCUCUUCUAAUACAGGAGGGUCAUGACGGUACCGUAAGAAUAAGCACCGGCUAACUACGUG